Molecule: transfer RNA, 69 nt
Filed under: Ictidomys tridecemlineatus (thirteen-lined ground squirrel)
Lineage: Eukaryota; Metazoa; Chordata; Mammalia; Rodentia; Sciuridae
Description: Spermophilus tridecemlineatus (thirteen-lined ground squirrel) tRNA
Rfam family: tRNA
About the family: Transfer RNA (tRNA) molecules are approximately 80 nucleotides in length.
Source: Rfam by way of RNAcentral
GGGGUUGUGGCUCAGCAGUAGAGCACUCGCCUAGCACGUGUGAGGCCCUGGGUUCGAUCCUCAGUACCA